This 3694-nucleotide small RNA is filed under the name Pan troglodytes (chimpanzee). RNAcentral describes it as "processed transcript". Lineage: Eukaryota; Metazoa; Chordata; Mammalia; Primates; Hominidae. The record is from RNAcentral.
AUAUACACUUCAGCAGGAACCAUGCCAUUUUAAUACAGAUGAAGGGGCUAUAGACUGUUGCUUGCUAUGGGUCCCUAACAACUGUUGUGUUCUCAAACACUCCAGAAUAAAUCAGGGUAAAGUGGUCAAGUUAUAUACUAUCAACAUGUAGGUUUGCAAAGCGUCUAGUUGUUGUAGAGUUCAAGGCAAUUUUUUGCCUCUUCUGUGAGGCAAAAAAUGAUAAGGUGUGAUCCCUGUACACUUGUAGAAGAACGAGCCUCUAGGUACUCUGCUUUUCCCAGAAGCCAUAAGCAGCCUGUGAUGGGAGCUCCACUGAUCAAGUUAAUGAAGGCGAGUUCUCUUCCCUUCUAUCACAGGUGCUGCGACAAGAGACUUUGGACAAAAAUUGACUUGAGUAGGUGUAAGGCCAUUGUGCCCCAGGCCCUCAGUGGCAUCAUCAAGAGGCAGCCAGUCAGCCUUGACCUCAGUUGGACCAACAUCUCUAAAAAGCAACUGACAUGGCUCGUCAAUAGGCUGCCAGGACUGAAAGACCUCCUCCUAGCAGGCUGCUCCUGGUCUGCAGUCUCUGCCCUCAGCACCUCCAGCUGCCCCCUUCUCAGGACCCUUGAUCUUCGGUGGGCAGUAGGAAUCAAGGACCCUCAAAUUCGGGACUUGCUUACUCCACCGGCUGAUAAACCAGGUCAGGACAAUCGCAGCAAGCUCCGGAACAUGACCGACUUCCGGCUGGCAGGCCUUGACAUCACAGAUGCCACGCUUCGCCUCAUCAUUCGCCACAUGCCCCUCCUGUCUCGACUCGACCUCAGUCACUGCAGCCACCUUACAGAUCAGUCCUCCAAUCUACUCACUGCUGUCGGGUCUUCCACUCGCUACUCUCUCACAGAGCUCAAUAUGGCAGGUUGCAAUAAAUUGACAGACCAGACCCUGAUCUACCUACGGCGCAUUGCCAACGUCACCUUGAUCGACCUUCGAGGAUGCAAGCAGAUCACUCGAAAAGCCUGCGAGCACUUCAUCUCAGACUUGUCCAUCAACAGCCUCUACUGCCUGUCUGACGAGAAGCUGAUACAGAAGAUCAGCUAAGACACACCCAGCCCAGACUCAACAGGAAACCGAUCUUCCCCUGACUCCCCACCGAGGAGAGCCUCUCCUCGACCCUGCACGGGCUCUGAGGCCAGCGUCACACUCCCUCUCUGCUCUCCUGUCCCUUGAGCCCUUCCUCUACAGGUGGGGCAGAGAGGGUGGUGGACACCAGGCUUACCUGCCUGCUCCUCUCCCUCCUAAGGAAAAGGGAGUAGCAGAUUGAUCUGAGGGGAAAGCACAGGCUGUGCUGUCGAGGCGCCUGCUCGCUUACUCGCCUGCCAGGAGGCCGGGCUCUCAGUUUGGGGUGUUUGUGCAACCUUCAUCUGCACUGGGCCCUGUGCCCCUCCUCCCCAUCCAUGGUCCCCAGCAGUGCCUGGUUCUGAGCAAACUCCCAGGGAAGAAAACGGCCCUGUCUCCAUGGCCAGGUUCUUGUGGUGUCCAGUGCGCGUCUCUCCUCCAUCACACUCUCCCGGCUUGUGCAGGAGGGGCCAGCAGCCCCAGGAGUCCCAGACCCGUGCCGAUCACACUGGUGCUGUUGAGAUGUCCCAAACCUCACGUCCUUAACUGUGCUCUCCCUCCUUUCCUCUCCCUUGAGCUUGGUUCUGCCCAGCACUCGUGCUCGUUCACAUAAUUAGGUUUCCCACCCCAGCUUACCCGACUUACUUGCUAGUCUCUAUGAGGUCCUUAUUGCACUUAUUGGGGUUGAAGCUCUUCAGAGGAGCUGGAACUGUCUACCCCAGGGACACACCCAUUUCAUUGCUACCCAAGUGGAUUCUGAGACAGGCACCAUCUCCUUGUUCCCCCUCUCUCUUUUGCCUCCCACUGACUGCCCUUUUCCAUGUGUCUUCAUUCUGCCUGAAGAAGGCUUUCCCAGGAUGCACGUCCUCAGAGGGAGCAGCCUAUCUCCCCCAAGCUGGAGGCGGCAGAGGACUGGGCCAAGCCCCAACCUGCCUCCCAGCCAGGCUCCUCCAGGCCUCUGGUUUAGCGGAGCCCCCUGAGCCCAGGCCUGUGUCUAGCCCCAGUGGCUCACUGAACUUUCAGGGCAGUCAGGGGGUCCUGCUUAGAAGCCAGUCACCAGCCCUCUGCCUGCAGCCAUGGAAGGGGGUGUGCAUGUGCCUCUGUGUGUGUGGCUGAGUGUAUUCUGCGCGUGUGUGUGGAGGGAGGGAGGGAGGGGAGCAUGGUGUCUCCCGCUCCACCGCCCUUUGUUGAGCCCCAUCAGCUGCCCCCUUUUACUUUGCAUUGAACGGCCUGUCCAAAGAUCCUCUCUCUAGGGCAGCAGAGAGCUUUUUGCACUUUAAAAAAAAAAGAAAGAAAGAAAGGUCGGAAUUUCUUUUGGGUCAAUAUUUUUAAGUGUGUGAGGAGAUGCUCAGUAGCAGCAGCCUAUGGCAAGAGCUUAUAAAUGAUUGAUGCAAAUUUGCACUCUGCUCCCCCUCUGUAAGGAUACUGAUAGCACAACCUCUUCUUCCCCCCACCCCGCCCCGCCUUUUGGUCCUCCAUCCCUGUCCCUUUCUGGCCCUCUUCCUGUAGCCCAGUCUCAGGCUUUCCUCUUCCUGAAGCCCUACAGAGUUAGGGAAUGGAGCCCAGGCACCAGGGGUCUAAAGUGUGAGCCACUGAGAAGAGAGACGCCAACUGCACCCUUGCCACUUCCAAAGCAAUAGAGGCAGAGUGGUCCCCUCUUUGCCACCUAGGCCAGUUUUGACCCUGGCAUUAACUGGCCUUAGAAGAAACUGGGUCCUGGUAGGGGGUGGCAUUUUGUUUGUUUCUUCCAAUCUGCUGAAUCUUUUGGCUGCACCUUACAAACAGCAGUCUGCUCCCAUGACCCUCUGCCCACUUCCAUUGGUCUCCAGGCCCCAAUAAUCUGGGGUUGAAACUUUGAGGAAAUGCCAGUGACUUAUUCCAGAGUGCCUCAGUUAGGGGAACUUCUCUGUAAAGAACCCUGGGUAUUGAGCAAAAACCUUAUUAUUGUUAAUGACCUAUAAUUGGAAGCUUCCUGCCUUUUUCUUUGGUUGCUCCUGUGGAAAAUACUGAAAAGAUUACUUUGUUUUAUUUUGUUGUCUUUUUAUAAAAGGGGAGGUGGAGAGACCCCUUCAGAGCAGGGAUUGUGCCGGGAGAGUGCCUCUGACUUUGGGACAUUUCAUCCACAGAAAUUUCCAAGCCAAUGGUUUCUUUUGGGUUUUGGUUUUUAUGUUUGUUUUUUGGGGUUUGGAAAAACAUGCAUUUUUACCGUGCACGUAAAUUGGUCAGCAGAAAAGGGAGCCCAGAAAAGGCAGCAGAUGGACCAUGCCCUUGCUGGGUUUUCCUUUUCUUUGGGACUGUGAGGGGAAAUGGUUUUUAGAGGUGAGGGUUGGUCCAUGUGGAGGAAAGAAGUGUCUCUGUUGGGGGACAGAGGAACCUGGGGAGUCCAUCGCAUGUCCUACAAUCUGCUCUUAGACACGGCCUUGCCAGGAGAGCCUGCCCUCAGACUGCAGGACCAGAACCCCUGCCUCCAUCUUUCCAAGCACCGGGGCGAAAAACCACAAAGGAAAGGAAGAAAAUUUAUAUAUAUAUAAUAUAAAAUCACUUGGUGAUUAAAAAAAUAACUGCUCCAUAAAUAAAACUCCUAAAGUCACUUAUGUUU